RNAcentral lists this ribosomal RNA (1413 nucleotides) under Triticum aestivum (bread wheat). RNAcentral describes it as "partial small subunit ribosomal RNA". Lineage: Eukaryota; Viridiplantae; Streptophyta; Magnoliopsida; Poales; Poaceae. The record is from RNAcentral.
AUGGCAAACGACGAUCCUUCACGCGUCCGUAUCGUUCGCAAAAGCAUCGUCAAGCCGUCCGUUGCGCGCCCCGGCGUGGUGCUGGCUGUCUCUAACCUCGACCUGCUGUAUCAGACGAUGCCGAUCGCGAUGAUCUGCGCCUACCGCACGCCCUCGGACGGCCUGGGCUUCCAAGACGUCGUGGCCGCCUUCGAGGCCAAGCUGCCGUACCUGCUCGACCACUUCUUCCUCCUCGCCGGCCGCAUCGUCGCCAACCCGCACUCCGGGCUCCCGGAGGUGCACUGCGACAAUCAAGGCGCGGAGCUCGUCGUCGGCGAGGUCGGCGUGGCGCUGGGGAGCCUGGACUACGGCAGCCUGGAGGCGUCCUUGGCGAGGCUCGGCGUCCCCGUCCAGUACGACGCGGGCGUCGCGCUGUCGGUGCAGCUGGUGUCGUUCGCCUGCGGCGGGUUCGCCGUGGCGUGGGGCACCAACCACGUGCUCCUGGACGGGUGCACGCUGUGCAUGAUCGUCGACGUUUGGUCACAGCUCGCGCGGUCCGGGACCGAGAAGAUCGCCGCCGCCGCCGCCCCGAACCACGACCGCUCCAUAUUCCGCCCUCGCGCCGCGCCGUCGUACGGCGGGCUCGGAGAGGUGUUCAUCCCGCUUGAGAGCGAGCGUCUCGUCAACGCACUCACGGCCGGGAGCUCCCUGGUCGUUCGCACCUACUACGUCGAGCAGCGGGACCUCGACAUGCUGCGCGUGCAGGCGAGCGCCAGCGAGGAGCGCGGCGCGAGCGCGAGCCGCGUCGAGGCGGCGUGCGCGUACCUGUGGAAGGUCCUGGCCGGCGUGGUGGGGUCGUCGGACGACAGGUGCCGCAUGGGCUGGUGGGUGAACGGCCGGCCGUGUCUCGCCAAAAAGGAAGCGGCUAUGCGCAGCUACGUCGGUAACGUCACGUCGUUCGCGGUGGCGGAGGCGAGCGUGGACGCGAUCAAGCGGCGGCCGCUCCCGGAGGUCGCGUCGAUGGUGCGCCAGUCGAUCAGGGCGACGGCGACCUCCGAGCACUUCCAGGAGCUGGUGGACUGGGUGGAGGAGCGCAAGGGCAAGGGUCCAGGCAAGUACGUGGAGACGGCAACCGUCGGGCUGGGCAGCCCGGUGCUGAGCGUGACGUCCAUGGUGUCCUUUGGCCUCGACACUGACUUCGGCUUCGGGCAAGCCGCCAUAGCGAUGCCGACGUGGGUGGACAGCGGGAGGCUCUGCUGCGGCUUCGUGACGAUCAUGGCGAGCCCGGGAACGGGAGGCCACGGCGGUGGCUCCUGGAUCUUCACCAUGUCCAUUUGGCCGAGGCUGGCCGCCGCGCUCGACUCCGAUGCCCACCGCAUCUUCAAGCCUCUGACCGCGGAGUAUCUCGGCCUCGCUCAGUAUAGCCGGCUCUGA